Molecule: ribosomal RNA, 378 nt
Filed under: uncultured Thermovirga sp.
Lineage: Bacteria; Thermotogati; Synergistota; Synergistia; Synergistales; Thermovirgaceae
Description: bacterial SSU rRNA
Rfam family: Bacterial small subunit ribosomal RNA
Source: RNAcentral
AGGACGCUUCCUUCGGGAAGCGAGCGUACACAGGUGCUGCAUGGCUGCCGUCAGCUCGUGUCGUGAGAUGUUGGGUUAAGUCCCGCAACGAGCGCAACCCCUAUUGCCAGUUGCUAACAGGAGAGCUGAGCACUCUGGCGAGACUGCCGCCGACAAGGCGGAGGAAGGUGGGGACGACGUCAAGUCAUCAUGGCCUUUAUGCCCAGGGCUACACACGUGCUACAAUGGCCGGCACAGACGGCAGCUUAGUGGCGACACUUGGCAAAUCCUCUAAAGCCGGUCCCAGUUCGGAUUGUAGUCUGCAACUCGACUACAUGAAGCCGGAAUCGCCAGUAAUCGCAGAUCAGCCAAGCUGCGGUGAAUACGUUCCCGGGCCUU